This 397-nucleotide ribosomal RNA is filed under the name Ebria sp. RNAcentral describes it as "partial small subunit ribosomal RNA". It matches the Rfam family "Eukaryotic small subunit ribosomal RNA", at positions 582 to 975 of the family's 1831-position model. Lineage: Eukaryota; Cercozoa; Thecofilosea; Ebriacea. The record is from RNAcentral.
AUUCCAGCUCCAAUAGCGUAUAUUAAAGUUGUUGCAGUUAAAAAGCUCGUAGUUGGAUUUCUGGUUUGAUGCCCUGGCCCGCUGCUAUUUUGGUAGUGUGUGCCGGUUGUGCGUCUGCCAUCCUUCUAGGGAACGUUCCUUCUCUUCACUGAGCCGGGUUCGUGAUCUAGAUCGUUUACUUUGAAAAAAUUAGAGUGUUUAAAGCAGGCUUUUGCUAUGAAUACAUUAGCAUGGAAUAAUAAUCUAGGACUUCGGUCAUAUUUUGUUGGUUUCUGUAACUGAAGUAAUGAUUGAUAGGGAUAGUUGGGGGUGCUAGUAUUGAGCGGCCAGAGGUGAAAUUCUUGGAUUCGCUCAAGACUAACUUAUGCGAAAGCAUUCACCAAGGAUGUCUUCAUUG